This 468-nucleotide ribosomal RNA is filed under the name uncultured bacterium. Its description in RNAcentral is "partial 16S ribosomal RNA". It matches the Rfam family "Bacterial small subunit ribosomal RNA", at positions 28 to 507 of the family's 1533-position model. The record is from RNAcentral.
GACGAACGCUGGCGGCGUGCUUAACACAUGCAAGUCGAACGGAAAGACCCUGCUUUUGUGGGGUGCUCGAGUGGCGAACGGGUGAGUAACACGUGAGUAACCUGCCCUUGACUUUGGGAUAACUUCAGGAAACUGGGGCUAAUACCGGAUAGGAGCUCCUGCUGCAUGGUGGGGGUUGGAAAGUUUCGGCGGUUGGGGAUGGACUCGCGGCUUAUCAGCUUGCUGGUGGGGUAGUGGCUUACCAAGGCUUUGACGGGUAGCCGGCCUGAGAGGGUGACCGGCCACAUUGGGACUGAGAUACGGCCCAGACUCCUACGGGAGGCAGCAGUGGGGAAUAUUGCACAAUGGGCGGAAGCCUGAUGCAGCAACGCCGCGUGCGGGACGACGGCCUUCGGGUUGUAAACCGCUUUCGCCUGUGACGAAGCGUGAGUGACGGUAAUGGGUAAAGAAGCACCGGCUAACUACGUG